Molecule: ribosomal RNA, 253 nt
Filed under: uncultured bacterium
Lineage: Bacteria
Description: partial 16S ribosomal RNA
Rfam family: Bacterial small subunit ribosomal RNA
Source: RNAcentral
UACGGGGGGGGCAAGCGUUGUUCGGAAUUACUGGGCGUAAAGGGCGCGUAGGCGGCCUGUUAAGUCGAACGUGAAAUCCCCGGGCUCAACCCGGGAACUGCGUCCGAUACUGGCAGGCUUGAAUCCGGGAGAGGGAUGUGGAAUUCCAGGUGUAGCGGUGAAAUGCGUAGAUAUCUGGAGGAACACCGGUGGCGAAGGCGGCAUCCUGGACCGGUAUUGACGCUGAGGAGCGAAAGCUAGGGGAGCAAACGGG